CCUACGGGAGGCUGCAGUGGGGAAUAUUGGGCAAUGGGCGCAAGCCUGACCCAGCAACGCCGCGUGAAGGAAGAAGGCUUUCGGGUUGUAAACUUCUUUUCUCAGGGACGAAGAAAGUGACGGUACCUGAGGAAUAAGCCACGGCUAACUACGUGCCUGCAGCAGCGGUAAGACGUAGGGGGCAAGCGUUAUCCGGAUUUACUGGGUGUAAAGGGCGUGUAGGCGGGACUGCAAGUCAGAUGGGAAAACCACGGGCUCAACCUGUGGCCUGCAUUUGAAACUGUAGUUCUUGAGUACUGGAGAGGCAGACGGAAUGCCUAGUGUAGCGGUGAAAUGCGUAGAUAUUAGGAGGAACACCGGUGGCGAAGGCGGUCUGCUGGACAGCAACUGACGCUGAGGCGCGAAAGCGUGGGGAGCGAACAGGAUUAGAUACCCUUGUAGUC
Molecule: ribosomal RNA, 443 nt
Filed under: uncultured bacterium
Lineage: Bacteria
Description: partial 16S ribosomal RNA
Rfam family: Bacterial small subunit ribosomal RNA
Source: RNAcentral